This 253-nucleotide ribosomal RNA is filed under the name uncultured bacterium. Its description in RNAcentral is "partial 16S ribosomal RNA". It matches the Rfam family "Bacterial small subunit ribosomal RNA", at positions 524 to 776 of the family's 1533-position model. The record is from RNAcentral.
UACGUAGGGGGCAAGCGUUGUCCGGACUUAUUGGGCGUAAAGAGCGUGUAGGCGGCCAGACAAGUCUGCUGUGAAAACUCGAGGCUCAACCUCGAGCUGUCGGUGGAAACUGUCUGGCUAGAGUCCGGAAGAGGAGAGUGGAAUUCCUGGUGUAGCGGUGAAAUGCGCAGAUAUCAGGAAGAACACCUAUGGCGAAGGCAGCUCUCUGGGACGGUACUGACGCUGAGACGCGAAAGCGUGGGGAGCGAACAGG